UACCAAAUUGAACGAUACGAGUCUGAGAAAUCGAAUCUUCGCUCACAAGUUGACUUUUUCCAGCAAAAGUUAUGUGAAAUGAGCUCAGAAUUGCUGAAAUUUCGACAACAGCAGAAUUCUGAUUCUAUGAACCUCAGAAUUGAAUUGGAUGAUCAAAAGAAUCAAAACACCUUGCUUAAACACAAUUUGGAUGCUGCGACUUCAAAAUAUCAAGUUCUUGAUAAAGCCUAUCAGGAGUGUGUGAAGCGGAUUUCUGAAUCACAGAAUUUACAAAAUCAACUUGAAAAAAAU
Long non-coding RNA from Octopus sinensis (East Asian common octopus), 291 nucleotides. RefSeq lists it as uncharacterized. NCBI's taxonomy places the organism in Eukaryota, Metazoa, Mollusca, Cephalopoda, Octopoda, Octopodidae. The transcript is spliced from 3 exons. The record is from RefSeq and is a predicted model, not a curated record.